This 72-nucleotide transfer RNA is filed under the name Balamuthia mandrillaris. Its description in RNAcentral is "tRNA-Trp". It matches the Rfam family "tRNA". Rfam says of the family: Transfer RNA (tRNA) molecules are approximately 80 nucleotides in length. Their secondary structure includes four short double-helical elements and three loops (D, anti-codon, and T loops). Lineage: Eukaryota; Discosea; Longamoebia; Balamuthiidae. The record is from RNAcentral.
UUGGGGAUAGUUUAAUCGGUAAAACGCCGUCCUCCAAAGUCGGUAAUAUAGGUUCAAGUCCUGUUCCCCUUG